CCUACGGGGGGCUGCAGUGAGGCAUAUUGGUCAAUGGACGAGAGUCUGAACCAGCCAAGUAGCGUGAAGGAUGACUGCCCUAUGGGUUGUAAACUUCUUUUAUAUGGGAAUAAAACGUUCCACGUGUGGGAUUUUGUAUGUACCAUAUGAAUAAGGAUCGGCUAACUCCGUGCCAGCAGCCGCGGUAAUACGGAGGAUCCGAGCGUUAUCCGGAUUUAUUGGGUUUAAAGGGAGCGUAGGUGGAUUGUUAAGUCAGUUGUGAAAGUUUGCGGCUCAACCGUAAAAUUGCAGUUGAAACUGGCAGUCUUGAGUACAGUAGAGGUGGGCGGAAUUCGUGGUGUAGCGGUGAAAUGCUUAGAUAUCACGAAGAACUCCGAUUGCGAAGGCAGUUCACUGGACUGCAACUGACACUGAGGCUCGAAAGUGUGGGUAUCAAACAGGAUUAGAUACCCGUGUAGUC
RNAcentral lists this ribosomal RNA (460 nucleotides) under uncultured bacterium. RNAcentral describes it as "partial 16S ribosomal RNA". It matches the Rfam family "Bacterial small subunit ribosomal RNA", at positions 338 to 795 of the family's 1533-position model. The record is from RNAcentral.